CUGAGAACCUUUAUCACUAACUACUACAAGCAGCUUUUCUCUUCUCGUGCAGGAACUAGAGCGGAUGAGCUCCUUGACAAGGUCUCCCCCAUUGUUACUGCUGAGAUGAAUGUCUUCCUUAAGAGACCUUUCACCAUUGAAGAAAUAAAAUUGGCUCUUAAUUCCAUGGGUGAUUUGAAGGCCCCGGGUCUAGAUGGCAAGCCAGCGGUCUUUUAUAAGCGCUUCUGGGAUCUAGUAGGGGACGUUGUGCAGGGCGAAGUUCUUGAGGUUCUGAACGGUGGCCAAAUUCCAGCGGGCUGGAAUGAAACGGUCAUUGUCUUGAUCCCCAAAGUCAAGAAUCCAACCCACCUUAAGGAGUUGCGGCCGAUCAGCCUUUGCAACGUGGUGUUUAAGAUUGUCACAAAGGUGAUUGCUUGUCGGAUGAAGGAGGUGCUUGAUGUGGUCAUUUCUCCUAGCCAGAGUGCCUUUGUCUCUGGACGGCUGAUUACCGACAAUAUUCUGAUCGCUUAUGAGACCACCCAUUUCAUGCGCCAGAGAAAGGGAGGUAGAGAUGGGCUUGCAGCAGUCAAGCUGGAUAUGAGUAAGGCUUUUGACCGUGUUGAAUGGCCUUUCUUGGAGAAGAUAAUGCUGAAACUAGGCUUCUCUAAUAGCUGGGUGCAACUGGUGAUGCGUUGUGUGACCACGGUCACAUACAGGGUUAAGGUGAACAAGAAUCUGACUGAGGUGGUGGUGCCUCAAUGUGGCCUGAGGCAAGGGUGUCCUCUAUCACCUUACCUUUUCAUCUUGUGUGCUGAGGGGCUCUCGGCUCUCUUCCACCGGGCUGAGGAGGAUGGAUCCCUGCAGGGAGUUCAGGUUUGCCCUACGGCUCCCAAGAUAAACCACCUCUUCUUCGCAGAUGACUCCUUGAUCUUUAUGAAGGCGAAUGAGCCAAGUGCUCGUAGGCUCCAAGAAAUCCUUGCUCUCUACGAGGAUGCGUCUGGCCAAAUGAUAAACAAGGAAAAGUUUGCUGUUAUGUUCAGCAAGGGAACUUCUCAGCGAGCAAAAAGGAAUUUUCAGAGGAUUUUACAAAUUCGAGACAAAGCUUUCAAUGAAAGAAACCUUGGUCUGCCAAUUUUCUUGGGUAGAUCAAAAGCCAAGGCCUUUGAGUAUCUUAAAGAGAGAAUCUGGAAGUUGAUCCAAGGGUGGAAGGAGAAAUUCUUAUCUAGAGCAGGGAAGGAGAUCUUGGUUAAAGCCGUGGCCCAGGCGAUCCCCAUCUAUGCCAUGUCCUGCUUUGACAUCACGAAAUCUUUCUGCGAUGAAAUUAGCUCAAUGGUCUGUCGCUAUUGGUGGAAUAAUCAAGAUGAGGAGCGGCACCACUGGUUGAGCUGGCAGUGUCUUACAAAGCCGAAAACUGAGGGUGGCCUUGGCCUUCGGGAUCUCCACAUCUUUAACCUGGCCAUGUUGGCUAGACAAGGUUGGCGACUACUUCAAGACCCCGAGUCUCUUUGUGGGAGGGUGCUGCGGGCUAAAUAUUUCCCUGACGGGAAGCUUCUGGACGCUGUUCCCGCCCCUGGCAUAUCAUACAGUUGGCGCAGCAUCCUAAAAGGGGUGGACUUAUUG
RNAcentral lists this ribosomal RNA (1599 nucleotides) under Triticum aestivum (bread wheat). Its description in RNAcentral is "partial small subunit ribosomal RNA". Lineage: Eukaryota; Viridiplantae; Streptophyta; Magnoliopsida; Poales; Poaceae. The record is from RNAcentral.